UUAAAGAAAAGAAAUGUUUUGACGAAAAUGUUUUAUUUGGUUUAAUUAAUUCAACUUAAGAAUGUUCCGUUUGAUUGGAUUUGACAGGAUCGAAUAUUUCGUGAGAAAAUGUUUUGACGGAAUUAUUUGGUUUAAUUCAUCCAACUUAAGGUACAGUCAAGAGGUGCAUAAAGUUAACACAAUUUAUCUAUAAUAAUCCUUUUCGGAUUUGAAAGUGCAAUUACCACUUUAUACAACAUUAUACCAUAAUCCACGCUUAAACCAAGUAAUUCCUGACUUUCAACCCUCAACGUGUAAUUUCUCUGGUAACGUUACACGAUGAAUUUGCAUAACAAACGCGAAAUAUCAACUUGAUCCGUGUUAAUUACAUAACAAGGUAAAAAAAAAUUGAGUUCUGACAAACUCUUCCUUAUGUAUUCUUAGUCUAUGUAUAUUUAUGUAUUAUGCAUGCUUGAAAAAAUAAUGUAAAUAUAUUUUUAGAAUCAUCUCGCGUGAGUUCCAAUAAUAAAACAGAUAAUAAUUUUUCGA
Apis laboriosa (Himalayan honeybee) is the source of this 528-nucleotide long non-coding RNA. RefSeq lists it as uncharacterized. The record is from RefSeq and is a predicted model, not a curated record. The transcript is spliced from 3 exons. Lineage: Eukaryota; Metazoa; Arthropoda; Insecta; Hymenoptera; Apidae.